This 333-nucleotide ribosomal RNA is filed under the name uncultured Mucilaginibacter sp. RNAcentral's name for it is "bacterial SSU rRNA". It matches the Rfam family "Bacterial small subunit ribosomal RNA", at positions 72 to 406 of the family's 1533-position model. Lineage: Bacteria; Pseudomonadati; Bacteroidota; Sphingobacteriia; Sphingobacteriales; Sphingobacteriaceae. The record is from RNAcentral.
UUGGGAGCUUGCUUCCAUGAGAGUGGCGCACGGGUGCGUAACACGUAUGUAACCUACCCUUAUCAGGGGGAUAGCCUCUCGAAAGAGAGAUUAAGCCCGCAUAAAAUCACAGCACAGCAUUGUGUAAUGAUCAAAUAUUUAUAGGAUAAGGAUGGGCAUGCGGAACAUUAGCUAGUUGGUAAGGUAACGGCUUACCAAGGCUACGAUGUUUAGGGGAUCUGAGAGGAUGGCCCCCCACACUGGUACUGAGACACGGACCAGACUCCUACGGGAGGCAGCAGUAAGGAAUAUUGGUCAAUGGGCGCAAGCCUGAACCAGCCAUGCCGCGUGCAG